RNAcentral lists this ribosomal RNA (484 nucleotides) under uncultured bacterium. Its description in RNAcentral is "partial 16S ribosomal RNA". It matches the Rfam family "Bacterial small subunit ribosomal RNA", at positions 46 to 523 of the family's 1533-position model. The record is from RNAcentral.
GCUUAACACAUGCAAGUCGAGCGGUAACAUGACUAGUAGCAAUACUAGUUGAUGACGAGCGGCGGACGGGUGAGUAACACGUAGGAACUUGCCCAGUAGUGGGGGACAACCAAGGGAAACUUUGGCUAAUACCGCAUACUCUCGAGAGAGGAAAGCUGCCGCAAGGUGGCGCUAUUGGAGAGGCCUGCGUCCGAUUAGCUAGUUGGUAGGGUAAAAGCCUACCAAGGCGAGGAUCGGUAACUGGUCUGAGAGGACGACCAGUCACACUGGGACUGAGACACGGCCCAGACUCCUACGGGAGGCAGCAGUGGGGAAUCUUGGACAAUGGGGGCAACCCUGAUCCAGCGAUGCCGCGUGAGUGAAGAAGGCCUUCGGGUCGUAAAGCUCUUUAGGCUGGGAAGAAGGUUGGUAGUUUAAGAGAUAAUCAAUUUGACUGUACCAGCAGAAUAAGCACCGGCAAACUCUGUGCCAGCCGCCGCAGUAA